GCUGUCUCUGACACUGGAGCGAUGAACACCAUUUUCCCCAAAAGAUUUUCAUUCAGCUGGUGUUUUGAUGAAGGUGGUGUAGAGCACAGCUCCAAAAUCCUCCAUAUAAGGGGUUGCAUAGAAUAAUCAAUUUAGAUUAAUACAUUCACAAAUUGAAUUGUCAAGGUAGAUACGAGACUGAGAAGGUAGAUACGAGACUAAGAAGGUAGUUACGAGACUAAGAAGGUAGAUACGAGACUAAGAAGGUAGACACGAGACUAAGAAGGUAGACACGAGACUAAGAAGGUAGACACGAGACUAAGAAGGUAGAUACGAGACUAAGAACAUAAGCUCCUGUGUUGUACAGUGACUCAUGUGGAACACUACACAGCAGGUCUGGUGUAAAUUCUAGAUAGUGUGAACAUGUUCGAACAAAUAUUAUUAUUAUUAUUAUUAUUAUUA
Long non-coding RNA from Ictalurus punctatus (channel catfish), 441 nucleotides. The record is from Ensembl. Lineage: Eukaryota; Metazoa; Chordata; Actinopteri; Siluriformes; Ictaluridae.